GAUGAACGCUGGCGGCGUGCCUAAUACAUGCAAGUCGAGCGAACAGACGAGAGUGCUUGCACUCUCUGACGUUAGCGGCGGACGGGUGAGUAACACGUGGGUAACCUACCUAUAAGACUGGGAUAACUUCGGGAAACCGGAGCUAAUACCGGAUAAUAUUUAGCUUCGCAUGAAGCAAUAGUGAAAGACGGUUCUGCUGUCACUUAUAGAUGGACCCGCGGUGUAUUAGCUAGUUGGUGAGGUAACGGCUCACCAAGGCAACGAUACAUAGCCGACCUGGGAGGGUGAUCGGCCACACUGGGACUGAGACACGGCCCAGACUCCUACGGGAGGCAGCAGUAGGGAAUCUUCCGCAAUGGACGAAAGUCUGACGGAGCAAUGCCGCGUGAGUGAAGAAGGUGUUCGGAUCGUAAAACUCUGUUGUAAGGGAAGAACAAGUACGUUAGUAACUGAACGUACCUUGACGGUACCUUACCAGAAAGCCACGGCUAACUACGUG
RNAcentral lists this ribosomal RNA (499 nucleotides) under uncultured bacterium. Its description in RNAcentral is "partial 16S ribosomal RNA". It matches the Rfam family "Bacterial small subunit ribosomal RNA", at positions 28 to 507 of the family's 1533-position model. The record is from RNAcentral.